This 254-nucleotide ribosomal RNA is filed under the name uncultured bacterium. RNAcentral's name for it is "partial 16S ribosomal RNA". It matches the Rfam family "Bacterial small subunit ribosomal RNA", at positions 524 to 776 of the family's 1533-position model. The record is from RNAcentral.
GACAGAGGGUGCAAACGUUGUUCGGAAUUACUGGGCGUAAAAGCGCGUGUAGGCGGCCAUCUAAGUCGGGCGUGAAAUCCCACGGCUCAACCGUGGAAGUGCACUCGAAACUGGAUGGCUAGAGUCCUGGAGAGGAAGGUGGAAUGCUUGGUGUAGAGGUGAAAUUCGUAGAUAUCAAGCGGAACACCGGUGGCGAAGGCGGCCUUCUGGACAGUGACUGACGCUGAGACGCGAAAGCGUGGGGAGCAAACAGG